This 294-nucleotide ribosomal RNA is filed under the name uncultured bacterium. RNAcentral's name for it is "partial 16S ribosomal RNA". It matches the Rfam family "Bacterial small subunit ribosomal RNA", at positions 335 to 643 of the family's 1533-position model. The record is from RNAcentral.
UCGCCUACGGGAGGCAGCAGUGGGGAAUAUUGGGCAAUGGGCGCAAGCCUGACCCAGCAACGCCGCGUGAAGGAAGAAGGCUUUCGGGUUGUAAACUUCUUUUCUGAGGGACGAAGAAAGUGACGGUACCUCAGGAAUAAGCCACGGCUAACUACGUGCCAGCAGCCGCGGUAAUACGUAGGUGGCAAGCGUUAUCCGGAUUUAUUGGGUGUAAAGGGCGUGUAGGCGGGAAAGCAAGUCAGAUGUGAAAACUCAGGGCUCAACCCUGAGCCUGCAUUUGAAACUGUUUUUCUU